GUUUGUCUUAGGCAAGUUUAAUCUUGUGUUAUACUGUUUUUCCAGAUGUUAUAUUAUUCUUCAUUCUGUGAGCUAAGAUUCAAUCAUCAUCACUCAGGUUAAAGGGAAGACAAAUGUUUUAAUAUUAUUUAGCCCAUUUCCUCCCAGUGUCAGUAACCUUUCUCUUUUGUCCUAACAGUUCCAUCUCUCUAGGCUUUCCCUUUAGCUACCUUCUAUUUUCAGCCGCUGGGGGCUGGUUUUUGCCUUAGAUUAACUUUUUUGUUUUGUUGGGAAGGGGGAAUAUCCUUUGUCAUUGCAUAAAACAUUGGAGAGAUUUAGUUUUAACCAGGUUUAUGAAAGACUGGGAACUGUCAGCAAUAGACCAUCGAUUUUAUAAGUCUAGAGUUAAGAAUAAAGAGCAGCUAGUUUAAGAGUGUGGACACUAUGGUUUCUAAAGAAAACUGGACUUUGAGAAAUGUACCAACUUCUCAUUCCAAAUGAUUGUUCUCAGUUUUAGCAAGGUUAUCUGUUCUCAGUUUAGCAAGGUUAUCUGUUCUCAGUUUAGCAAGGUUAUCUGUCUUAUCUGAAAAUGGAAUUUGAGCUGAUUCUCUUUACAAGCCAAGAAUUUUUUUCCAGGUUGUUCCAUUGUGUUCAAAGACAUGACCUUGAAAAUAUAUGAGUUGUUUAUAGAUAAUUUUCCUUUGCUUUUUAAAAUUGAAGAAGUUAAGCUUAAGUUUCAAAGUAAAAUGUUUAUUCUGUAAAGUUUUCUUUUGUUUAAUUAGGUGUUUAGUGACCAGUAAAUCUGCCCUGGUUGAUUAGUAAGUUUGUGUAGUAGUUGGCCAUUUCUUACCAUGGUAUUAAGAUUUGUUUAAUGCUCUUCAUAAGGGAUUAAUGAGUUAAGACUUUUUAAGUAGGUAGCUUAUUAAGGAAUAGUUCAGGCCAGCAGGUUAGGGCAUCUAAGGUAAUUUAGCUGUGCCUGAAGAUUUGCUCUUUGACCUGGGGCAAGACACUUUCAAAACCACCCUCCCCAAAAUGAUGAUGCCGGUUACUCAUCUACCUCACAGAGUUGUUGUGAGGAUGACUAACAAGUCACUUGAAAAAUUCCUUACCAGUAAAAUGCUGGUGAAUAGCUCUAUACUUUUACUAAACGUCUAAGUCAUGAAGAAGCUUUAAGAAAUAAGUCCUUGCAAAUUUUGAGGAACUAGGUAUGUAAUAUUCAACUUUUUUCAUAUUUGCCAUUAGUUAUACAAAUUUGAGUUAUUACAAAUAACUAUUAAUAAAUAUUGGGAAAGUUUCUUAUAGUGUCCCUGGUACAUACAUUACUUCAAAUUAGUAUAAUAAUGUAAAUUAAAUUUUGUGAUUAAUUUAGCACCAUAUAUUUUAUGCCCACUGCAUAAAUCCUCUGUCUCCAUAGUCUAAGAACCUUAAUAUAGAUUGUGAGUACAUGUUUGAGGGAACCUGUUUGAUAUUUUCCUACUAGGACUUUUUGUUGUUGUUUUGCUCUGAAAUAGGUAUUUCCCUCUAGAUAAGUGUCCUGGGAACCCCUGCAGAAGAAGAUGGUGGAGGCAAAAUUGAUCUAAUUGAAGCAGGAGCUUUUAAAAACCUCGAUGUUGUUUUCAUGGCCCAUCCAUCCCAAGAAAAUGCUGCUUAUCUACCCGAUGUGGCCGAACAUGAGUAAGUAAUCAAGUUGCAGAUAAACUUCUUAGAGGAUAACUGAUAUAGAAUACUUUUAUGUCUAAGGGCCCAACACUCCAAAUUUUUUUUCAUUUAAAAAGUAAAUUGAGGGGCUGGGGACGUGGCUCAAGUGGUGGCGCGCUUGCCUGGCAUGCGUGCGGCCCGGGUUUGAUCCGCGGCACCACAUACAAACAAGGAUGUUGUGUCCGCUGAAAACUGAAAAAUAAAUAUUAAAAAAAUUCUCUCUCCCUCUCUCUCUUAAAAAAAAAGUAAAUUGAUAUGUGCAUGUAUGAAUAUGGUAUAAUGAAUCCCACUACUGUGUAUAAUUAUAAUGCUCCAAUUAAAAACAAAACAAAAAAACCCAGUAAACUGAGUCAGAUGCAGUGGUGUGUGCCUAUAGCUGCAGUUACUUGGAAGACUAAGGCAUGAGUGAGGAGUGCUUGAUCCUGUAUGAAUUAGGAGACCAGAAUGGGCAGUGUAUUGAAACCCCAUCUAAAAAUAGAACAACAAAACAAAAAGUAUAUUGUAAGGGCUGGGGAUAGAGUGCUUGCCUCCUAUGCACAAUGCCCUGGGUUUAAUCCCCAGCAACCCCCCCCCCCCCCACACACACACACACCCACACAAAAGUAUAUUGUAAGAUAAUGUGAUGUCUUAAUUACAUUGAAUGACAUUUGGUAAGACUCCAAAACAAAACAAAAAGUGUAUUGAAAGAUAAUGUGAUGUCUUGAUUAACAUUGAGUGACAUUUGGCAAGACUCUUCUAAUUGAGAUUUAUUAUAGUAUUCAUAAUAGGGCUGCUAAAAUAGUGCCUAAAAACAUAGGAGUAGCAAACAGAACAUGGUGACAUUUGUGUUUUUCUUUGAACUCUGAGAGGAAUCUGAUUUCUGGAAAGUGUGUAUUCUUUGAUAAGGAGUUGCCUUUGCAACUGAAAAGAUUUGUAAGAGAUGGUUUUAUUAGUCAGCCUACUUGGCCCCAGGCCUGUUUCAGUGUCUGGCUUCUUUGUUUUUUCAUGGGUCAUCUUUUUAAGAUUUCCACAAAAGAGGAACAAGAUGAAGAAUUUAAAGAAAGUUAUUUAUCUCUUUAAAUUUCUAAUAAUGAAUAAGAUAAAGCAAGUUUUUCCUAUUGGCCACCUUUCCCAUAUCCAGUCCCUUCUUUGCUGUUGUUGUUUUCUCCAGUGCUGAGGAUGGAACCCAAGUCCUUACACAUGCUAGGCAAGCACUCUACCACUCAGCUACAGCACUAACCCUCCAGUCCCCUCUUUAGAGGUGUAUUUAUAGCACAUGCAUAGGUUUAUAGGACAUGCAUAGGUACAUGUAUAAAUUAAAUAUUGAAGGAAGGUUUGUUGUUUUUUUUCUCUCUCUCUGAGGAAUUCAGCUUAACACACACACAUACACACAUUUUAUUUUGUUUUAUUAGGUACUCAGGGUUGAACUCAGGGGCCCUCUACAACUGAGAAACAUCCCCAGCUCUUUUUUUAUUUUUUGAGACAGAGACUUCCCAUGUUGCUAAGGCUGGCCUUGAAUUUACAGUCCUCUUACCUCAACCUCCUGAGUCACUGAGAUUACAGGCAUGUAUCACUAUGCCCAGCCAUUCAAUAUAUUGUUCUAGCUAGUUGCAGUGGCACAUGUGUGUAAUCCCAGUGACUCAGGAGGCUGAGGCAGGAAGAUUGUGAGUUCAAAGUCAGAUGCAGCAAUUUAGGCCCUAAGUAACUUAGUGAAACCCUGUCUCAAGUAAGAAAGAAAAAAAAAAAAAAGGGUGGGGAGGUGGCUAAGUGGUUAAGCACCCCUGGAUUCAAUCCCUGUUACCAAUAAAUAAAUAAAUAAAUACACAAACAAACACACACAUUGUUUUGGCCCUAUUUUUUAAUUUAAAUUUUUUUUUUUUUUGAAAUGGGUCUUUCUGUGUUGCCCAGGCUGGCCUUGAACUCUUGAUCCUCAUGCUUCAACCUCCAAUAGCUGGCACCAGAGGCAAGUGCCACCAUAACUAGUUCACAGGCCCUUGUUUUGUUAAAACAAAAUCAAACAGUUUGUUUUGAAAAUAAUUUCAUAUUAUUUUGCUUGAAGUAUGUUUUUAAAGGCCAAAAUAUUAAUCUAAUAUAAAAUAACUUUUAAUAUUUCUUUUCCUGUAGUUUAUUGUUCUUUAAUUGUAUAUUUAAGCGCUCAGUGGAAGAGCGCUUGCCUGGCAAAUGUGAGGCACUGGGUUCGAUUCUCAGCACCACAUAUAAAUAAAUAUAUAAAGAUCAGUCAACAACUGAAAAAAAAAAUGGUACUAGAGCCAUUUUCAUAAAGGACUUCCUUUUCCAUUUUAUACUCUAGUUUCAAGGUGAUGGUGAAAAGAUAUAUAUCAAGGAAAUAAGUAUCUUACAAUCUUAUAAAUGUGUUUGAAUGUUUUUACUUAACUUCGUUCUGCUAACAGAAUGUGAGGAAUGACAUAAGAAUUGGUAGCAUUCUAAGAACUCCUGAAUGUCCAGAUGGUUUUUUAGUCUAAAUGUGAACAAUACUAGUUUAAAAAGUGUUAACUAAGUAAGUCAAUCACUUAGUUACACUUAUUUAGUUAUAAAGUUAUAAGUAUUUAAUUCACAAUCUGAGAAUAUGAAAACCAUGGAGUGAAGUAAUGAUAAUUUAUAGAAUUUUAAAACAUUAAUGAAGUAUGGGGAUAUAGCUUAGUAGUGGGGAGCUUGCCUAGCAUGUAUGAGGCCCAGGUUUCAUCCCCAGUGCUGGAAACAAAUUAAGUUAAAUAAAAUGUUAGCCACCUAAAGUAUUUGGAAACAUUAAAAUAUUGCUAGGGUAUCUUAUGAUAACAUUGUGAGUAUAAAGUGAUUUUCAAAGAUUAUCUUAGCCCAUUUCAAAUGUUGCUUUCUAAUAAAGAAUUAUCUGAGUUUUUUUUUUUUUUGUGGUGCUGGGUGCUGGGAUUGAACCCAGGGCCUUGUGCAUGCAAGAUAAGCACUCUACCAACUGAGCUAUAUCCCUAGCCCUUAUCUGAGUUUUUGCAGACUUUUGAUAGAGAGCUAUCAUCAUUCAGUGUAAAAGGAUGCAAGAACUCCUAUUUUAUAAUUGCAUCAUGUAAUAUAGUAUUGCAUAUGUGUUCAAGUUGAAUUGUGUACAAAUUUAAUCUGUAGGAGGUUGGUUGAGCAACAUUUUCUUUCUCUAUUUAGAAUGCUUUCUUUGAGUUAAGUACUAUGUCACAUAAUAAUAAGUUGUAACUAAUGCAAGUAAAUGUAGUGCUUUUACUGCAAAUAAUUUGCAAGUAAAAAUUUCAGCAAUGUGAAUUAAUUUUGAAUAAUAGUUUGGUAGUUCUAACUACCUGCAUUUUUUUUUUUUUUUUACUUUAGUGAUACUGGAGGGAGUAAUUUUCAAUGAUUUUUUUUUUUAGUUGUAGAUGAACACAAUAUCUUUAUUUUAUUUUUACAUGGUGCUAAGGAUCCCACCCAGAGCCUCAUGCGUGCUAGGCAAGUGCUGUAUCACUGAGCCUGAGCCCCAGCCCCAGCCCUUUCAAUGAUUUUUUUAUUUCCUAGUGUGACUGUGAAAUACUAUGGAAAAGCAUCUCAUGCUGCUGCUUACCCCUGGGAAGGAGUCAAUGCCUUAGAUGCUGCUGUUCUUGCCUACAACAAUUUGUCUGUGUUAAGACAGCAAAUGAAACCAAC
RNAcentral lists this long non-coding RNA (5295 nucleotides) under Marmota monax (woodchuck). Lineage: Eukaryota; Metazoa; Chordata; Mammalia; Rodentia; Sciuridae. The record is from RNAcentral.